Non-coding RNA from Cyanistes caeruleus (blue tit), 1136 nucleotides. NCBI's taxonomy places the organism in Eukaryota, Metazoa, Chordata, Aves, Passeriformes, Paridae. The record is from RefSeq and is a predicted model, not a curated record.
AAUGUGACUCUGCAAUCCAGCACUGCAACAAAUAUCUUUUAUUGUAAGCUCUUGCAAACUAAAUGAUGUGGCACACACUGAUCUUUUACAACCAUUGAAUACAUUUCCCCAAAUCAGUUUCCCAUCAAUCUGCAGAAAAGCUUCAGAAGCAGAGCAGAGAUUGAAGGUAUCCAAGCAGGGCAUCACAGGGAUUUAGCUCUGGCUGCUCAAAGCUUUCUCUGUAUCUGAUGCCAAAGCCUGCCUGUCUGAUACAACAGCUGCUGCUCUCAAGGCACACUUUCAAAAGCAAGCAAACAAAAGCAUGUCCCAGGAUCACAUCAUCACUGAAUUGUUGGGGUUUGGAGGGACUUCUCAAGAUCUUCUAGUCCAGACUCCAGGCUCAAGCAGGAUCAGCUAGAGCAGGUUGUCAGGACCAUGUAUUGUUGAGGUUUGAGUAUUGUGAGAUGUGGAGAUCUCCAGACAAGAUCUCUGGGCAGCCUGAGGUGCCCUGGUCACACAGCCUUGCUAAGGAGGUGAGGGACAAGUCAGCUGCACAAUCUCGGGGACAGCUAAGGGGGGAGAGGACUUCUUCCUGAGAGCUCUGUCCUGAGAUGGGCAGCAGAGCAAAGCAGUUGGAAGCUCUGCCCACAUCUUUGUGCCUUUGAGCAGAGGAGGAGGUGGCCUGAGGGACAGAGCUGGAAACACACCAGAGAAUGAAGCAGCACAGACGCUGCACAGAACAUUUGUCCCCCUCUACUCUGCUCUGCUGAGACCCCACCUGCAGUGCUGCCUCCAGCUCUGGGGCCCACAGCACAAGAAGGAUAUGGAGCUCUUGCAGUGGAGUCCAGUGGGGGUCAUGAAGGUUCUCCGGUGGCUGGGAGCAUGUCUGCUCUGGAGAGAGGCUGAGAGAGCUGGGGAUGUUCAGCCUGGAGAAGAGGCCCGAGAGUGCAGUACCUGAAGGGUCUCUAAGAGGGCUGGAGAGGGUCUUUGGACAAGGGCAUGAAAAGGAGUGACAGGACAAGAGGGAAUGGUUUCACACUGAUGGAGGGCAGGGUUAGAUUGGAUAUUAUAAAGAAGUAAAUCACUGUGAACAGGCUGUAAAAGUAGGUAGGAGUAAAAGUUACCUAGUGAUGUUUUGACUGCCCCAUCCCUGGAAG